This 227-nucleotide long non-coding RNA is filed under the name Mytilus galloprovincialis (Mediterranean mussel). Lineage: Eukaryota; Metazoa; Mollusca; Bivalvia; Mytilida; Mytilidae. The record is from RNAcentral.
CCUUUUUAGCUUACCUGGCCUAAAAGGCCAAGUGAGCUUUUCUCAUCACUUGGCGUCCGGCGUCCGGCGUCGUCGUUAACUUUUACAAAAAUCUUCUCCUCUGAAACUACUGGGCCAAAUUAAACCAAACUUGGCCACAAUCAUCAUUGGGGUAUAUAGUUUAAAAAAUGUGUCCAGUGACCCGGACAACCAUCCAAGAUGGCCGCCAUGGCUAAAAAUAGAACAUG